RNAcentral lists this ribosomal RNA (698 nucleotides) under Klebsiella pneumoniae. RNAcentral describes it as "bacterial SSU rRNA". It matches the Rfam family "Bacterial small subunit ribosomal RNA", at positions 780 to 1478 of the family's 1533-position model. The record is from RNAcentral. Lineage: Bacteria; Pseudomonadati; Pseudomonadota; Gammaproteobacteria; Enterobacterales; Enterobacteriaceae.
AGAUACCCUGGUAGUCCACGCCGUAAACGAUGUCGAUUUGGAGGUUGUGCCCUUGAGGCGUGGCUUCCGGAGCUAACGCGUUAAAUCGACCGCCUGGGGAGUACGGCCGCAAGGUUAAAACUCAAAUGAAUUGACGGGGGCCCGCACAAGCGGGGGAGCAUGUGGUUUAAUUCGAUGCAACGCGAAGAACCUUACCUGGUCUUGACAUCCACAGAACUUUCCAGAGAUGGAUUGGUGCCUUCGGGAACUGUGAGACAGGUGCUGCAUGGCUGUCGUCAGCUCGUGUUGUGAAAUGUUGGGUUAAGUCCCGCAACGAGCGCAACCCUUAUCCUUUGUUGCCAGCGGUUCGGCCGGGAACUCAAAGGAGACUGCCAGUGAUAAACUGGAGGAAGGUGGGGAUGACGUCAAGUCAUCAUGGCCCUUACGACCAGGGCUACACACGUGCUACAAUGGCAUAUACAAAGAGAAGCGACCUCGCGAGAGCAAGCGGACCUCAUAAAGUAUGUCGUAGUCCGGAUUGGAGUCUGCAACUCGACUCCAUGAAGUCGGAAUCGCUAGUAAUCGUAGAUCAGAAUGCUACGGUGAAUACGUUCCCGGGCCUUGUACACACCGCCCGUCACACCAUGGGAGUGGGUUGCAAAAGAAGUAGGUAGCUUAACCUUCGGGAGGGCGCUUACCACUUUGUGAUUCAUGACUGG